GACGAACGCUGGCGGCGUGCUUAACACAUGCAAGUCGAACGGAAAGGCCCUGCUUGCAGGGUACUCGAGUGGCGAACGGGUGAGUAACACGUGGGUGAUCUGCCCUGCACUUCGGGAUAAGCUUGGGAAACUGGGUCUAAUACCGGAUAGGACCGCACUUUAGUGUGUGUGGUGGAAAGUUUUUUCGGUGUAGGAUGAGCUCGCGGCCUAUCAGCUUGUUGGUGGGGUAAUGGCCUACCAAGGCGGCGACGGGUAGCCGGCCGGGGAGGGUGUACGGCCACAUUGGGGCUGGGAGACGGCCCAGACUCCGACGGGAGGGAGCAGUGGGGAAUAGUGCACAAUGGGGGCAAGCCUGAUGCAGCGAGGCCGCGGGGGGGAUGAAGGGCGUCGGGUUGGAAACGGCGUGCGCUAGGGGCGAGGCUGUUUGUGACGGUACGUGGAUAAGAAGCACCGGCUAACUACGUG
Molecule: ribosomal RNA, 465 nt
Filed under: uncultured bacterium
Lineage: Bacteria
Description: partial 16S ribosomal RNA
Rfam family: Bacterial small subunit ribosomal RNA
Source: RNAcentral